GGAUGGUUACCUAAACUAUUUUAUUCGGAAGGAUACACUCCUGUCCAGCGGCAGAAGUGUUCCUGUGACGAUUUAGGUUAUUAGUUCGCAACUCACCACCAGAUGACGCUCAAACACAGGACACAGGAGGUCACAGAGCUCAUCUAACUUCCUACUGUUUCCAGAGAACCCUCACACCUUCAUCCCUUUAUCUUUCUCGACUGUGAACUUUGCACCUUUAAGGGCAUUGAAGAUGGAUCUACGACUGGCUUUUGUGACAUGAUCUAACAAUGAUCAGCGAUUCGGCCAAAACCACAAGGAUAACACUUUGAAGAAAGAAUACGAACAGAACAGAGAAUCAUGACCAUUCAAUCUUUAUCAUCAGUAGCCUUGGCAGCCACUGUUUUCUCUUUCAUGUUUUGUGUCUGUUUAUUUCUGUGUCUGGCAUCCACCCUCGCCGUUUCAUACUCACCCAGUUCUACAGUUAUCUUUUACACAAACACACACAUGCACACAAACUUUAUCUCUUCCAAAGCACAGCAGCAGCUAGCUAGGCUCCAUCUUGCUGGAAAUCAGAAAGUGUGAGAUAAUGCUGUAACUAAUAAAGAAAAGGGAGGCCCUUUGAUGGCUCAGAC
Long non-coding RNA from Misgurnus anguillicaudatus (oriental weatherfish), 614 nucleotides. RefSeq lists it as uncharacterized. Lineage: Eukaryota; Metazoa; Chordata; Actinopteri; Cypriniformes; Cobitidae. The record is from RefSeq and is a predicted model, not a curated record.